CCGAGAUGCUUGAAGGCGAACAGCUUGUUGUCGAAGGGCACACGGGGGACUAGGUCGUUGCAGUAUACCACGCGGAAGUAUCUGCCUUCGAGCUUCUGUUUGAAGUAAGUUGCAAAGUUAAGGUCGCCGACCCGAGGCUGACCGAACGUGUACACGGCUUUGAUUUUGCUGGCGACCUCUGUCUGUCCGGUGUAAUGCAGCAUGGCGGCAUACAGCACUGCCAGGGCGCCCCCGAGACUGUGACCCGUGAUGUACAGUUUCGCAUUGGGGUUGUCGUGCAGGAUCAAUGCAACUUGCUCCGUGAUGUGGUCGUAAGCGAGGAUUUUCUCCGAGUCGGCGAUGAUUGUGUCGGCGAGGCCGGAGGUCGGCA
This 370-nucleotide long non-coding RNA is filed under the name Physcomitrium patens. RNAcentral describes it as "long non-coding RNA (PPAT_LNC006799)". Lineage: Eukaryota; Viridiplantae; Streptophyta; Bryopsida; Funariales; Funariaceae. The record is from RNAcentral.